CACACAACAAAUCACGAUCACACUGUGUUCUGGUGUAGUGAAAAGCGUUUUACUACGUAAUUUGUGGGAAAUACUUGCUAUAGUUACGUAUGCAUCACAACAUCUCAGCAUGAUGCGGAGAUUGGAAGUGCUUGUCACACGAAAACAUGACAAGCUACCUGUAAUAAUUAACACAAGAGUGGUCCAGUAAAUUCAUGCUCACCAAAUGUAAAGAUUCACAGAUCCCGAGGACAGUGUGGCCACAGCAGCUGCCAGAGGGUGUCAUCACAACACCACAGGAAAACCCCAUCCAGAUGGAGCCUUUGCCUCCUCUGCCUGCUCUCGUCCUACCAAUGGAGCUGGACCCACAAAUGUUGGUUGAUUGGGUAGACUUUUAUAGCAAGUUUCCUUUUGCUGUGCCAGUGAACUCAACAACGUCACAUAGCACUUUUUAGGUGUUGUCCUCAAUUGUUUCCUUUGAAGAUUUGCCUAAACUCAUAGUGUUGGACAAUGGUUCUCAGUUCACAUCAAAUGAAUUUGAAUCAUUCUGUGAACACAAUGGCAUACAGCACCUAACUAGUGCACCAUUCCAUCCACAGUCGAACUGUUAAGUGGAACAUUUUAUCAGAAUCAAAAGAAGGCUGGAAGUAUCGCUUCGAACUGCAUGAUUUUGUGUUUUAUGGGGUUUUUAGCAGCAGCAGAUGGUGGGUGCAAGGCAAGAUCCUUUGUCGAAUUGGCCUAUGCAUGUAUCUCAUUUCAGGCCCAGACGGAUUGCAGCACCGACAUUACAAUAAAAUUCACCACUGCCAUGUGCAUGGUUAUCCUUCUGUAUCUCUUCCCCCAGAUUCACAGAUCCCGAGGACAGUGUGGCGACAGCAGCUGCCAGAGGGUGUCAUCACAACACCACAGGAAAACCCCAUCCAGAUGGAGCCUUUGCCUCCUCUGCCUGCUCUCGUCCUACCAAUGGAGCUGGACCCACAAAUGCCGCAGUAACCAACGCCUUCUACAUUGUGGUAUGGGCCUCAGGAGGUGGACACGUACCCUUCUGGAUGUCUUCCGGGGGACAUUUCCACCAGUGCACAGGCCAGAUAGUGGGGUAUGACUGGAAGUCUCACGUCCCCUGCAGCCACAGCUUCCAGUCCAUUAGUGUGUCCACCCUGCUGCCUCCCCCACUGUUUUCGUGCUCCAUAUACAAUGACAGUCCAUCACCUUGGUGGGGAGCAAUGUAACGGCAUAAAGUCAAGCAUCAGCAUGCUAUUUGGGAAUGACAGAAAAGAGGUGGCUGUGAGAAGAUGUCAGCCAGUCGCACGCUGACUGACCCCUCUCCAGGAUGACUACACGACAACAGCAGCCCCUAUGUCAAGAGGACAUAAGUGCCAUGACUGACUGGUGAUGCUCCAGUUGGAUAGCCACUUCACGACCAGCGGCUGGAUAAAAGCGUCAGUGCUCAUUACUUUGCUUGUACACUCUAUGUAACACAGACAUGGGAACUGUUAUACUGAAGAAAUUGCUUAUUUUGUAAGUCACUCUUUGCUUGUGACACAUCUGUGUAAUUGUCAGAUUUAAGUAUUGUCUUUUAAUUUUUUGUAAUAAAACUCAUUAAUAUGA
This is a long non-coding RNA of Schistocerca piceifrons (Central American locust), 1587 nucleotides long. RefSeq lists it as uncharacterized. The record is from RefSeq and is a predicted model, not a curated record. Lineage: Eukaryota; Metazoa; Arthropoda; Insecta; Orthoptera; Acrididae. The transcript is spliced from 3 exons.